This is a long non-coding RNA of Poecilia latipinna (sailfin molly), 1034 nucleotides long. RefSeq lists it as uncharacterized. NCBI's taxonomy places the organism in Eukaryota, Metazoa, Chordata, Actinopteri, Cyprinodontiformes, Poeciliidae. The record is from RefSeq and is a predicted model, not a curated record. The transcript has 2 exons.
CUGCUUUUGUCUGGUUUGUCUAAAGGCUUUCAAGUUGUUCAUAGGAGUAAAGUUAAGAGUUAAAGUUAAAGAAGUUAAUAGUCAAAGUAAAAGGUUGAUUGGCUGGUGCAGUGGGAACUGGUCGUCCCCGAUCUCCCCCGGAUGCGGGGAAGGGAAAGACUAGGUUUUGUCAGUUUUAUCCUUGAGGAGUGCUGCCCUCGGAAAAGAACGCGUUAGCCAAUCUGUGACUUUGCUUGAGAAACGCGAAUGCGGUGAAAGCGGUCCACCAUAGGGAAAAAGAUGAGACAAGAGAAUAAAGAGAUAAGAGAAUAAGAUAAAGGUUGAUCGCGAUCUGUUCCUCUGUAGAGUAAUAAGUGAAGUAAUAAGUGAAAUAAGUGAUAAGAGAGGACAUCAUAGGAGCUGAAAAGCGUGGAUCCAUUUCUGUGUAUCUGAAAGCUGUGUGUCUGUCAGCUGUGUGUGUAAGCUUCUGCCGCUGAGCAGACGUUAUGUGUUUAAAUGUACUCUUUUAUGUUUAUUGCAAUGUCUUUAAAACCAUGGUCAAAAUUGGGAACUUAUAAUCUGUGGGAGGUUUUUGAUUUUGUUUGCUGGGUUUGAUUUUCUGCUGUGUUUGAUUUCCUCGCCGCCGUGCGAGCAAAACUAAAAAAAAGAAAAGAAAAGAGAGAGGUGAUUUUUGAGCCUUAAUUUUAGCCUAAACAGAUGGAGGGUGAAUUUGAAAAGGAAAAAUACUAUCCAAAGUGGGGCAUCGGGCCAUGGAUUGCGCUCGGUGAGUAAAUAGAAGCAUUAAUAACUUAUUUGGCAAAGCAUGACAAAUAUCAAAAUAAGGGAGAAAGAGAAAAACAAAAAAAAAAGGGGCUAGAAUACCUGGUGCAGAAGAAAGGAGGCAACCUGUUAAACAGACAGCCUUUGGGGAAUAUUGGCUGGAAGCAAUAAAUGACGCUAAGGGAAAACUUAUUGAAACUAAACUAAUCCUGCACAAUUCACUAUAUUCACAUGUGGUAAAAUUAACUGUAUGAAGGAUGAACGAAAUGACAUAA